UCCCUGGUGGCUCAGAUGGUAAAGCGUCUGCCUACAAUGCAGGAGACCUGGGUUCAAUCCCUGGUUUGGGAA
This 72-nucleotide transfer RNA is filed under the name Bos taurus (domestic cattle). It matches the Rfam family "tRNA". Rfam says of the family: Transfer RNA (tRNA) molecules are approximately 80 nucleotides in length. Their secondary structure includes four short double-helical elements and three loops (D, anti-codon, and T loops). Lineage: Eukaryota; Metazoa; Chordata; Mammalia; Artiodactyla; Bovidae. The record is from Rfam by way of RNAcentral. RNAcentral also lists the same sequence under 3 other names.